Small nuclear RNA from Micropterus dolomieu (smallmouth bass), 102 nucleotides. NCBI's taxonomy places the organism in Eukaryota, Metazoa, Chordata, Actinopteri, Centrarchiformes, Centrarchidae. The record is from RefSeq and is a predicted model, not a curated record.
GUGUCAGUAACACACCAGUUAAACUGGGAACGAUACAGAGGAGGUUAGUAUGGUCUCUUGCGCAAAGAUGACACGCAAAAUCAAACAUUUUAUGUGAUUUUU